UGGGGAAUAUUGCACAAUGGGCGAAAGCCUGAUGCAGCAACGCCGCGUGAGUGAUGAAGGCCUUCGGGUUGUAAAGCAUCUGUCUUUUGGGACGAUAAUGACGGUACCAAAGGAGGAAGCCACGGCUAACUACGUGCCAGCAGCCGCGGUAAUACGUAGGUGGCAAGCGUUGUCCGGAUUUUACUGGGCGUAAAGGAUGCGUAGGCGGAUUUUUAAGUGAGAUGUGAAAUACCCGGGCUUAACUUGGGUGCUGCAUUUCAAACUGGGAAUCUAGAGUGCGGGAGAGGAGAAUGGAAUUCCUAGUGUAGCGGUGAAAGUGCGUAGAGAUUUAGGAAGAACACCAGUGGCGAAAGGGCGAUUUCUCUGGACCGUAACUGACGCUGAGGCAUGAAAGCGUGGGUAGCAAACAGGAUUAGAUACCCUGGUAGUCCACGCCGUAAACGAUGAGUACUAGGUGUAGGAGGUAUCGACCCCUUCUGUGCCGCAGUUAACACAAUCAAGUACUCCGCCUGGGAAGUACGAUCGCAAGA
RNAcentral lists this ribosomal RNA (530 nucleotides) under uncultured bacterium. Its description in RNAcentral is "partial 16S ribosomal RNA". It matches the Rfam family "Bacterial small subunit ribosomal RNA", at positions 355 to 893 of the family's 1533-position model. The record is from RNAcentral.